AGACAAUAUUUUACAAUAAAAAAGUAUGUGAAUGUUGUUGCCAAUAAUAUAAACGGUCACUCAAUGAUUAAUGUCCGAUGGGUGGUUCGAUAAGUACUUAGCCUCUCUCCCCGAUGGCGCACCUACCGGAAGAGAAAUAUACCAUCGUAAAAUACAUUCUUGUAGACGGCCUAUGUCAAAAUAUUAGCCAAAAAGGAACUCGUAGUUUUGUUUUGGUCGUCUGUCUAAGCGGGCGUGUUUAAGGAUUUUAGAAAACUGAAAAAAGGGCAAAACUCCCAGGUGCCCCGAAAAGUCUACCACUGAGGAUAACGGGAAAGAAAUCCACGUAUUAGCAGACCGUCGACUGAAGCUUUGUAAGAUAGUUGAGACAGUAGGCAUCAGUUGGUCAUAUCCUACAUGAAAUUUUGUACAUUAGAAAGCUGUCGGCGCAAUGGCUGCCGCAUUUUAUAACUCCGAACAAUAAACGCAACCACGCGACCACUUCAGAGCAGUGGCUGAUGCUAUUUAAGCUUAAUCUAAAUGUGUUUCUACGUUGUUUCUUAACCGUCGACGAAACAUAGUUCCACUGGUACACACCAAAGGUCAAGGAACAGUCGAUACAGUGUCCAUGACCCCGCGAACGUGCUACGAGGAGGGCGAAAACUGUCCAAUAGGCCGGAAAAGUGAUGGCCACCAUUUUCUGGGAUCCACAAGGUGUGAUCUCUAUCGACUUGCUGGAAAAGGGUAAAACGACCACAGAGCUUUACUAUGCCGCAUUAUUGGGUCGAUUUGACGCCGUAUUUCAGAAAAAUCAGCCCCAAUUCGGGAACAAAAAAACUCUUCCACCAUGACAACGCUCCGGCUUACACCUCCGCCAUGGCCAUGGCCAUAUUAAAUUGUUCGAAUUUUGCUACAAACUGCUGUUCUAUCCAACAUAUUCUCCUAUUUGGCCCCGUAUGACUAAGUCACUCACCGGGCAGAAACUUAAGUCUAAUAAGAAGCCAUAAUCUCGGCACGAAAGACUACUUUGCAGACCUCUAGAAAAGGUAUCUUUCAGACGGGUUAUAAAAGGUGGAGCAACGCUGGGUCACAUGUGUCGAGCUAAAAGGAGACACAAGAAUCUACAGGUCGAGCAAGUCUCGUAAAUUUCACGAUUGCGAGCCACGCUUCACGCAACCGUGUUUGCGUACUUGUGUUUCGAGUUGCGUGGUCGUGCGGAGUUAUAUUUACCAAAUUUAAAUCCGUUCCCAAUGCUGCCAAAAUUAAAUCAAUAUGUCAAUAUGGCUACUGGCGUGGCUACUGGCGUGGCUACUGGCUGUAAAAGAUAAAUCUUAUUCUAUCUGUUCUUAAUGAGUUUUAGAUAAUUUUAGUUGUAUUUCUUUGUAAUUUUGUGUUGUACAAAGAUUAAUUUAACAUUUUCUCUGGAAGUAUUAAUUUAGAAAGAUAAUAUGCUUCAUUGGUGUUGUGUUUUGAAGUGUGAAAUGCAAAGUAAUUGUGAUAAAGUCAAGAUAAAGUUCACUUUUAAACUGAACUAAAUAAGGUAUCUGAGAGACAACAAUGGUUAAAUGCAAUACAAUGUACAGGUUUUACUAGCGAAAUGAAAAUUUUCCUGUCCUGUCUGCUGUAAUCAUUUUAUAUCUGGAAAACCAGCCGACUUAAUCGAUAAUAACAAUCUCCAGAUUGGGUUCCUUCAAUAAAUAUGGGCUAUAAACACAAUGAAAUAAGUUCCCCAAAAUCUAAAAUGGAGUGAUAUCAAAGGAGAAUUAAAGGAAAAAAUAUUCAUAUUGAAAUUAUUUAUAAGGCACUGGACUGUCUUAAAUUCUACAAUAAUACUAGAAUCAGCUGAGAGAAGUGGUCUACAAAAAACCAGGAAGGAAACGGAAUAUGUGGCUACGAAAGGCAAAAGAAAGGUUUACAAAGCAAAUGUGACACAUUUUUGUGAAAUAUUUAGGAAUAUCAGUAAAUUGCAUUAAAAAAAUGUAUGAAAAGAUUUUGCUCAAUAAAAAUGUUUAUAUUUA
Molecule: long non-coding RNA, 1997 nt
Filed under: Diabrotica virgifera virgifera (western corn rootworm)
Lineage: Eukaryota; Metazoa; Arthropoda; Insecta; Coleoptera; Chrysomelidae
Description: uncharacterized LOC126888334
Source: RNAcentral